This 468-nucleotide ribosomal RNA is filed under the name uncultured bacterium. RNAcentral describes it as "partial 16S ribosomal RNA". It matches the Rfam family "Bacterial small subunit ribosomal RNA", at positions 28 to 507 of the family's 1533-position model. The record is from RNAcentral.
GACGAACGCUGGCGGCGUGCUUAACACAUGCAAGUCGAACGGAAAGGCCCUGCUUUUGUGGGGUGCUCGAGUGGCGAAAGGGUGAGUAACACGUGAGUAACCUGCCCUUGACUUUGGGAUAACUUCAGGAAACUGGGGCUAAUACCGGAUAGGAGCUCCUGCUGCAUGGUGGGGGUUGGAAAGUUUCGGCGGUUGGGGAUGGACUCGCGGCUUAUCAGCUUGUUGGCGGGGUAGUGGCUUACCAAGGCUUUGACGGGUCGCCGGCCUGAGAGGGUGACCGGCCCCAUUGGGACUGAGAUACGGCCCAGACUCCUACGGGAGGCAGCAGUGGGGAAUAGUGCACAAUGGGCGGAAGCCUGAUGCAGCAACGCCGCGUGCGGGAUGACGGCCUUCGGGUUGUAAACCGCUUUCGCCUGUGACGAGGCGUGAGUGACGGUAAUGGGUAAAGAAGCACCGGCUAACUACGUG